UAGGUAGGCGUCGGCGACCCGCUCGGCAUGCCCAUCGCCCACGUGAUGACUUCGGGCAUGCAGGGUAUAAGGGCCGCAGGAGACCUCGUUGCAAGGAUGC
Molecule: non-coding RNA, 100 nt
Organism: Euryarchaeota archaeon 55_53
Lineage: Archaea; Methanobacteriati; Methanobacteriota
Source: Rfam